This 171-nucleotide small nuclear RNA is filed under the name Haliotis rubra (blacklip abalone). RNAcentral's name for it is "U1 spliceosomal RNA". It matches the Rfam family "U1 spliceosomal RNA". From Rfam's summary of the family: U1 is a small nuclear RNA (snRNA) component of the spliceosome (involved in pre-mRNA splicing). Its 5' end forms complementary base pairs with the 5' splice junction, thus defining the 5' donor site of an intron. There are significant differences in sequence and secondary structure between metazoan and yeast U1 snRNAs, the latter being much longer (568 nucleotides as compared to 164 nucleotides in human). Lineage: Eukaryota; Metazoa; Mollusca; Gastropoda; Lepetellida; Haliotidae. The record is from RNAcentral.
AUACUUACCUGGCACAGGCUUUCUUUGACAGUGAUCCCUCGCAAGGCUGUGGGCCCGGGGCGAGACCUUCCAUUGCACAUCGGUUUGGUUGACCCCUGCGAUCGUCCCAAAUGUGGACGACUCGGGUGCGCAAUUUAUAAGUGUGGGGGACUGCGUUCCUGCGCCCCCUUU